AAAAACUAGAGGCUCUAAAGAGCCUGUGUCGCUCACCUUGGUCUAUGUGAAUAUUAAAGGAAGCAGAUAGAUUCAUGACAAAAUUGUGUUUUGGUGAUGGUGAUGUGUUUGUACAUCUUACUUUACUGAACAUUCUUGCUGCUUAAAAUUAUCUCUAUCUAUAAUGAACUUGGCCCAUUAGUUUCAGUGGAAAAUGUUAGUAAAAAUUUACAAAUUUUAUGAAAAUUUAAAAAUUGACUAUAAAGAACAAUAACUCUAAGGGGGUCAAUUGACCAUUUCGGUCAUGUUGACUUAUUUGUAAAUCUUACUUUGCUGACAUUUAUUGUU
Molecule: long non-coding RNA, 327 nt
Filed under: Mytilus galloprovincialis (Mediterranean mussel)
Lineage: Eukaryota; Metazoa; Mollusca; Bivalvia; Mytilida; Mytilidae
Source: RNAcentral